Small nucleolar RNA from Notolabrus celidotus (New Zealand spotty), 83 nucleotides. RefSeq annotates it as small nucleolar RNA SNORD11B. The transcript has a single exon. The record is from RefSeq and is a predicted model, not a curated record. Lineage: Eukaryota; Metazoa; Chordata; Actinopteri; Labriformes; Labridae.
UGACGGUCUUGAUGAUGACGACAGUUGUCUUUUUCCUGAAGCACACAUGUGGGCUUUCAGUCACUACCUCAUCUGAACCGUCA